RNAcentral lists this ribosomal RNA (270 nucleotides) under uncultured archaeon. RNAcentral's name for it is "partial 16S ribosomal RNA". It matches the Rfam family "Archaeal small subunit ribosomal RNA", at positions 477 to 747 of the family's 1478-position model. The record is from RNAcentral.
CAGCACCUCAAGUGGUCAGGAUGAUUAUUGGGCCUAAAGCAUCCGUAGCCGGCUCUGUAAGUUUUCGGUUAAAUCUGUACGCUCAACGUACAGGCUGCCGGGAAUACUGCAGAGCUAGGGAGUGGGAGAGGUAGACGGUACUCGGUAGGAAGGGGUAAAAUCCUUUGAUCUAUUGAUGACCACCUGUGGCGAAGGCGGUCUGCCAGAACACGUCUGACGGUGAGGGAUGAAAGCUGGGGGAGCAAACCGGAUUAGAGACCCGAGUAGUCC